GUUAUUGAUGAUACACAAGAGCACAUAAAGACCACCUAAAAGAAGAGACCUUGGUCAUCCUUUGUAUAAUCCUGAUGUUUGGCCAUCAUUUUGUUUUACGAGUUGGUCUUCCAUUAUCUGAUUAAAAAUUUUGUACAAUAAAUCGAUAGAUCAACCAUCUUAUUCAAGAUGCCAUCAUACUAAUUAUAUUAGACAUUCAACAUUCAACAGUGGAAUGAGGAUGAAAUUCAUCAUAGAAGGUUAACUAAAUAACUUUAGAUGUUGUACAACAAAUCAAUGGAUGUAUACAGUUCCAGGGCAGUACAUUUUUUAUCCUUUUCAUGAAUAUUGCCAACAAUGCAUCAGGACUUGAGUAUAUCAAAAAUUGGUAAAAUACAUAUAUUUUACUGGUUUUUCAUCAGUGGAUUUCAUCGUUUUUAAAUUUAAACAAGAAAAAAAAUUUCAUUGGGUCUCUGAGUUAUAUUUUUUAUGUUUUUUUUUGGUAUGAUACUAUGUACUUAGAACAUUAUGUUGUUCAAUGGUGAACUGUCAUUUUUCUAUAAUAUCUUGACUCUCAUAUUUCUUCAUUAUGGGAAUGAUAAACAUCAUUCAUUGAUUCUAUAUUCAAUUCUUCCAUUGAUUGUAUUUCUAUAAGUCUUCUUUUAUUUGUAUUAUUUUCUUAUGGUGUCAUUUUUCUAAUACUUUUUUUGCUCUUUUAAUUGUUUAUACAGAAUUUUAGUUUUAAUGGAUUUAUUUCCAAGUCAUUUUUUUGCAGAUCAUAUGCCAUGAAUUUCUGUGAUGUGUUUCUGAUGUAAAAAAACUGACGUCCACAGCUGAUGUCACUUCUGGCUUUUCUAGUAUUUUGCCAAGUAACAUCGACUCCAGAGCAUCAUAGCUAGCCUCCCCUAAGAGGAGGAAACCCGGGUCACCCCCUAACCCUGAUGUUCGGCCAUCGAUGACCUAUGUAGCAUGCAUAGGUACCCAAGGGAGUCACCACCCUCUGGUUUACGAGCUAGGUGUUCUAACGCUAGAGGCUUCGGCCGGAUACGACCUGGCACCCAAGCUACGAGACUUCUUCGUGCACGUAUCCCGUGACGUCUCGACGGUAGAGGGGGCGGGAUAUCGGACACAUUGAAGAUGACGAGGGGGGUCCGCCUGUAGGGGGUCCCGGUGGAUGUCCGUUCGAUGGGUGACGAGGGUGACCCGAGACGAGGCUGCUUAGCUGGGAUGGGAACUGACUGGCGAGGCUUAAUCGUCGGCCAAGGGUUAAAUCUGAUGAAGGGAGGCGAACCUAUAUGCUCUGGAGGAUUUUUUCUUUAUGUGCUUUAUGUCAUAUAUUGACCAGAUAUUUCUGAGAGGAGGCUAAGCGUAGCUUUUUGUCAAUUCCCCAUUUCUUAUUGACCAUAUAUUUGUUUACUUUUUUCUCUGGCUUUUGGCCUACCUCUGUUAUAAAAUUUUUGUCUGUUAUAUUCUCUUUAUUAAUGCAAUAUCAUCAUUCAUCAAUUCUAUGAACUCCUCCUUUUUGUGUCAUUCUUCUGAGACACAUAUUUCAUCAAUUCUAUUGUCUGUUUAGCAUUAUAGCUAUUUAUUUAUUUUCAUGCCAUUCUUUCCCAAUUCAACUUCCAUGUUUAUGCCAUUUUAUCCAAUUCAUCAUAUCCCUAUUUAAUUUUUUCACUUAUAUUUUCUUUAUUAUUGGAAUAUCAUUCAUUAAUUCUGUAUAAUACUCU
This 1706-nucleotide long non-coding RNA is filed under the name Sitophilus oryzae (rice weevil). RNAcentral describes it as "uncharacterized LOC115881113". Lineage: Eukaryota; Metazoa; Arthropoda; Insecta; Coleoptera; Curculionidae. The record is from RNAcentral.